GUUUUUCAAACCUUGUGUUUUUGUUAUAAUUGUUUUUUAGAGUAGUGUUUCCUAGCCUUAUGAGGCAAGGAAUACAUUUUACAUAAAAAAAAUAUCUUACGGCACACCAUAGGAAAUUUUAAAUGAAGGUAGCAUGUCGCUGUGGAUUGGAGAAAAUCGCGAUCCAAGCAGCAGCCGAUUAUUUUGGUCGGUUUUCGACUGACGUCAGGGACGUCCCUUUCCCCUCUCAAGAAAAGUAUUUUUUUUUUUGGGUGGCAUUAAGUUUGCGUCAGACGCCAGCCCUGGAAAACCCAUCACAGCUGAGGAAACUCCACACGGACCCAUGGAUUUCGCCCGUGGCAACCCUUCGCAUGUGGAUUUCCUACAAGACAACAACAGAAAGCAUCAUCUCUAGAACAAACAGCAAUCGGGCAUGCAAACACAUCGCAAGAAUCCUUCGGAGAUCUGCCAGGCUGCAAAGCAGGCGCAAAAUGACAUCAUUAAAUGGAGAGGGCACAGGAGGUCGACGCCAUCCUCUGCUUGACCAUCACCGUCAACGCCCUCCGGGAAAGAUGAGUUUAUCUUGCAGCUGAUGGACAGGGUCCCCACGGUGGCUGUUCCCCGCGCUCCAGACGCCUGCUCGGGCGAUAGCAUUGUCUGCGUGUCCAAAGACCUGCCGGCUGCCCUAUUCCGCCACGUCUUUAUCAUGCUAAUACAGCCAGAGACGGAAGCAGGGAGGCGGGAGAGAGGAACGAUAGCUCCGCAAAUAGAGGAGAGUUAAUGGAGCUCUUUGUGUGCCGCUUCCCUUCAUGAAGCCGCCGCUACGACACAAAAGGUCAGCGCCGCUACCACCUGACAAGCCGGCGCGGACGCCGCGGAUCUCUCGUUCACCAGGGUGACGGUGGCCGCACGGGUGACUUGAAUAUUUGAGGACAAGUUCCUGAUGGCAGUUUCACGUCACCUCUUGACCUCUUCACACCCAAGUGCCUCAAUAUGGACGGCAUGGUGCCAUUGCAAGCACAGUCUUGGAGGUUAACACAAGAGUACAUCACCGUAUGGUGCCGAACCUCUGCGGAACACCUGCUCUCCCGAUGUGCAUCCAAAUCUGUGAGGCCGAAUCGAUUGGGCCAACUCGGGGGAUGGCACGACGGGCC
This is a long non-coding RNA of Hippocampus comes (tiger tail seahorse), 1133 nucleotides long. RefSeq lists it as uncharacterized. Lineage: Eukaryota; Metazoa; Chordata; Actinopteri; Syngnathiformes; Syngnathidae. The record is from RefSeq and is a predicted model, not a curated record. The transcript is spliced from 10 exons.